Molecule: ribosomal RNA, 767 nt
Filed under: uncultured Streptococcus sp.
Lineage: Bacteria; Bacillati; Bacillota; Bacilli; Lactobacillales; Streptococcaceae
Description: bacterial SSU rRNA
Rfam family: Bacterial small subunit ribosomal RNA
Source: RNAcentral
GACGAACGCUGGCGGCGUGCCUAAUACAUGCAAGUCGAACGAGAGCGACCGGUGCUUGCACUGGUCAAUCUAGUGGCGAACGGGUGAGUAACACGUGGGUAACCUGCCCAUCAGAGGGGGAUAACAUUCGGAAACGGAUGCUAAAACCGCAUAGGUCCUUUAACCGCAUGGUUGAAGGAGGAAAAGAGGCGCAAGCUUCUGCUGAUGGAUGGACCCGCGGUGCAUUAGCUAGUUGGUGAGGUAACGGCUCACCAAGGCCGUGAUGCAUAGCCGACCUGAGAGGGUGAUCGGCCACAUUGGGACUGAGACACGGCCCAAACUCCUACGGGAGGCAGCAGUAGGGAAUCUUCCGCAAUGGACGCAAGUCUGACGGAGCAACGCCGCGCGAGUGAAGAAGGUUUUCGGAUCGUAAAGCUCUGUUGUAAGUCAAGAACGAGUGUGAGAGUGGAAAGUUCACACUGUGACGGUAGCUUACCAGAAAGGGACGGCUAACUACGUGCCAGCAGCCGCGGUAAUACGUAGGUCCCGAGCGUUGUCCGGAUUUAUUGGGCGUAAAGCGAGCGCAGGCGGUUUGAUAAGUCUGAAGUUAAAGGCUGUGGCUCAACCAUAGUUCGCUUUGGAAACUGUCAAACUUGAGUGCAGAAGGGGAGAGUGGAAUUCCAUGUGUAGCGGUGAAAUGCGUAGAUAUAUGGAGGAACACCGGUGGCGAAAGCGGCUCUCUGGUCUGUAACUGACGCUGAGGCUCGAAAGCGUGGGGAGCGAACAGG